Molecule: ribosomal RNA, 253 nt
Filed under: uncultured bacterium
Lineage: Bacteria
Description: partial 16S ribosomal RNA
Rfam family: Bacterial small subunit ribosomal RNA
Source: RNAcentral
UACGUAGGGGGCAAGCGUUGUCCGGAAUUAUUGGGCGUAAAGAGCGUGUAGGCGGCCAGAUAAGUCCGCUGUGAAAUCUCGAGGCUCAACUUCGAGCUGUCGGUGGAAACUAUCUGGCUAGAGUACGGAAGAGGCAAGUGGAAUUCCUGGUGUAGCGGUGGAAUGCGCAGAUAUCAGGAGGAACACCUAUAGCGAAGGCAGCUUGCUGGGACGUUACUGACGCUAAGGCGCGAAAGCGUGGGGAGCGAACAGG